UACGGAGGGUGCAAGCGUUAUCCGGAUUCACUGGGUUUAAAGGGUGCGUAGGUGGGCAAGUAAGUCAGUGGUGAAAUCUCCGGGCUUAACCCGGAAACUGCCAUUGAUACUAUUUGUCUUGAAUACUGUGGAGGUCAGCGGAAUAUGUCAUGUAGCGGUGAAAUGCUUAGAUAUGACACAGAACACCGAUUGCGAAGGCAGCUAACUAAGUCAAUACUGACGCUGAUGCACGAAAGCGUGGGGAGCAAACAGG
This 253-nucleotide ribosomal RNA is filed under the name uncultured bacterium. Its description in RNAcentral is "partial 16S ribosomal RNA". It matches the Rfam family "Bacterial small subunit ribosomal RNA", at positions 524 to 776 of the family's 1533-position model. The record is from RNAcentral.